UGAACAAUGGAAAUUCUCUAUUCAACAUUACAAAACCUGGGGAAUUUUACUUCACAAGUGGAGCAGAAGGACACUGUGAAAAGUCACAGAAACUUCACAUUUCAAUACCAGGAGGAAAUGGAACAACUUAUGAAGAAGAUUCACCUGCUUUUGCUCCAUCUGCAGAUUCACCUGCUUACCCUACUGUUUUUGGCUCAAUUCCUGUCCAAUCUGCUAAUCAAUCAUCUUCUGUGAAAUUGCAUAUCUCUAUUUUUGCUGCUAUUGGAUCAGUGUUUCUCACACUGCUUCUAGGAAGCACCAUUUUUUAGAGAAGUAAUAGU
Molecule: long non-coding RNA, 320 nt
Filed under: Nicotiana tabacum (common tobacco)
Lineage: Eukaryota; Viridiplantae; Streptophyta; Magnoliopsida; Solanales; Solanaceae
Description: long non-coding RNA (NTAB_LNC007079)
Source: RNAcentral